UGCAAGUCGAACGGUACAUUUCCAGCUUGCUGGAAGAUGACGAGUGGCGGACGGGUGAGUAAUGCUUGGGAACUUGCCUUUGCGAGGGGGAUAACAGUUGGAAACGACUGCUAAUACCGCAUAAUGUCUCCGGACCAAACGGGGCUUAGGCUCCGGCGCAAAGAGAGGCCCAAGUGAGAUUAGCUAGUUGGUAAGGUAACGGCUUACCAAGGCGACGAUCUCUAGCUGUUCUGAGAGGAAGAUCAGCCACACUGGGACUGAGACACGGCCCAGACUCCUACGGGAGGCAGCAGUGGGGAAUAUUGCACAAUGGGGGAAACCCAGAUGCAGCCAUGCCGCGUGUGUGAAGAAGGCCUUCGGGUUGUAAAGCACUUUCAGUUGUGAGGAAAAGCUAGUAGUUAAUACCUGCUAGCCGUGACGUUAACAACAGAAGAAGCACCGGCUAACUCCGUGCCAGCAGCCGCGGUAAUACGGAGGGUGCGAGCGUUAAUCGGAAUUACUGGGCGUAAAGCGCACGCAGGCGGUUUGUUAAGCUAUAUGUGAAAGCCCCGGGCUCA
This 557-nucleotide ribosomal RNA is filed under the name uncultured bacterium. Its description in RNAcentral is "bacterial SSU rRNA". It matches the Rfam family "Bacterial small subunit ribosomal RNA", at positions 56 to 611 of the family's 1533-position model. The record is from RNAcentral.